This 456-nucleotide long non-coding RNA is filed under the name Crocodylus porosus (Australian saltwater crocodile). Its description in RNAcentral is "lncRNA (ENSCPRG00005016747.1)". The record is from RNAcentral. Lineage: Eukaryota; Metazoa; Chordata; Crocodylia; Crocodylidae.
UUGGGAUUUUAGCAGUGGAGAGGGAUGGCAGUAUUAACUGCUACCAAAUAUCCCAGCCCUUCUGGAGUUCCGCAGGCUGGAUUCCAGGUCUCUGCAGGUUAGAGGCUGAGCAUCCCUGAGUUAAGCCAUAGCUUGUUUUGACCUUACAAACAUGAUUAUAGUAUUAUUCUCCUUCAUAGCUGAAAUAGAAUGCAUCAAAUUGUGCUCUCAGUUAUUUUAGAUCAAAAUCUGAAAUGUCAGAUUUACAUCCAGGAUGGACUACAGAAAAUAAAGGGAAAUUUGAAGAGAAGACAAGCAAGCCUCUGUGGACACGUGCAUAAUCUAUCUUACUCUAAAAUUUGCUGGUUAUAUGGCUACAAACAAUCCCUCUCAGUGUUAUGGUAGGUGAAGACUGAAAUCUCUUCAUGCUCAGGUGAUUUUUUUGGACACAGCAGUACACCAUCACAUUAAUUUAGC